CUCCACCUUCAAGCACACCUCUGCAACGUUGCCUUGCAACUCUACCAACAUUCCGCAAGUUUGCUGCCGCGCGGUCUCCGUCUGCUUCUCGCUUCUGCUCUUCAUCUUUGCCGUGUGUCCCCUUUCCCCAUUGUGCCUGAUUAUGGAGGCUCCAACCGACAGCGACUCGAUGCAGGUAGGGCCCGUGGCCGUUGGCCAUGCGGAUGGCGUGCUCACAAUGCCGUCGGAGGACUUUGCCAGCCUGCACUUGCAGCCCAUUCAAGACGACACGUGGAUUCGCAACGCGGAGAUUGUGCACAUGGAGAACUUUGUGGAGACCGAGGAUGGGAAGCGCAUUAAACGAGAGAUUCUGAGGGAGUACGUGGAGGAGAAGGAGCGCCAAGGCACUUUCCACCCUGAUCCCAUUCUGGAGGGUAUGAUAUACCAGGAGAAAUUCAUGGAAGCAUACCGCACGAAUGGCCGCACCGUGGACGCCGACAAGGCGCACUCCUACCGCCUCAAGCUGUUGGAGAAGCAUCGCCGCGCCCGCGCCAUCGAGAACGCUGAUAUGUAAGGUAAGGAAAAGAAGGACGCUCGGAAUCGCAGCACGGAUUCGACCAGUACGGUGUUUAUCCUGUGGUGAUGAUCGCUUCCCAUGCCCCCGUAUUUUCUGGGCCCUCGCGCCGGAGUGGAUGAACAUGUGUCCGUGUAGCGUCGUGCCAGCUGUGGAUCAGCUUCCCGAUAUGUUUUCAUAGUUGCCUUUACUCGUAAAAGAACGGAAACAAAAAAAAAGUACGUUCGCGCCUCCCUCCCUCCCUCCCCUCCACCGGGUCUUCCGCGUGGGCAAUUUUUACCUUUUUUUCUGUUUCCUCGUCUAGUGCUAUGAUGCGUAUGUGCUGCAGCACUAGUGCUGUCUGCACGCGUGAAAGAGAUGAUGUACGACACUCGCAGCACGGGAGCAAACACAGGCAAGGGCAUGGCAAGCGGACGUCACACCACCAUCCCGUUCAAGUAGGCCAGCACUCUCUGCUUUGGUUUUGGGUGCCCUCCCUUCUGCCUCCACCCACAGGCUGUUUCUCCUCUUUUACCUGUGUCUUUCCAAGCCUUGUACAUUCCGAGUAUCUUUAUGAUUCACUUCUUUCUUUUUUGUGGUUCGUUGAGCUCUUCGUUGAUGUGUCUCCUCCUCUACUUUUUUUUUUGCAUAUUUUGCGAUCGCUGCAAGGCAUGCGCGCGUGUGCGUGUGUGCGUGUGUUCGUCUUGUGCUCCCCCUCCUUCUUUUCUUUUUCCUGAUGUAGUGAUCUUCUCGUUAAACGCAACAUGCACGUGGAACACCGUAAGCAAGAAAUGGUGUGCAUGGGUGGUCUUAUAAGCGUCGUUCCCCUCAGCGCAUGCGGGGUGAAACACAUGCCGAUACACCCGUACGUGGAACAUGCAUUGUGCAAACAACAAC
This 1429-nucleotide unclassified non-coding RNA is filed under the name Leishmania donovani. RNAcentral's name for it is "gene:LdHU3.32.2220(CDS-product:Paraflagellar_Rod_ Proteome_Component_9_putative)". The record is from RNAcentral. Lineage: Eukaryota; Euglenozoa; Kinetoplastea; Trypanosomatida; Trypanosomatidae.